UAUAUUACAGAAUAUACAGUCUUGGUGAA
RNAcentral lists this non-coding RNA (29 nucleotides) under Mus musculus (house mouse). Lineage: Eukaryota; Metazoa; Chordata; Mammalia; Rodentia; Muridae. The record is from RNAcentral.